CCUACGGGAGGCAGCAGCCUACGGGAGGCAGCAGUGGGGAAUUUUUCGCAAUGGGCGCAAGCCUGACGAAGCAACGCCGCGUAGAGGAUGAAGGCCCUCGCGGUCGUAAACUCUUGUCUAGCGGGACGAAACUCUUUCGCGGAAAUACUGCGGGAGAUUGACUGUACCGCUGGAGGAAGCUCCGGCCAACUCCGUGCCAGCAGCCGCGGUAAUA
RNAcentral lists this ribosomal RNA (214 nucleotides) under uncultured bacterium. RNAcentral describes it as "partial 16S ribosomal RNA". It matches the Rfam family "Bacterial small subunit ribosomal RNA", at positions 316 to 525 of the family's 1533-position model. The record is from RNAcentral.